UUGACUGCGAGACCUACAAGUCGAGCAGGGUCGAAAGACGGACUUAGUGAUCCGGUGGUUCCGCAUGGAAGGGCCAUCGCUCAACGGAUAAAAGCUACCCCGGGGAUAACAGGCUUAUCUCCCCCAAGAGUUCACAUCGACGGGGAGGUUUGGCACCUCGAUGUCGGCUCAUCGCAUCCUGGGGCUGUAGUCGGUCCCAAGGGUUGGGCUGUUCGCCCAUUAAAGCGGUACGCGAGCUGGGUUCAGAACGUCGUGAGACAGUUCGGUCCCUAUCCGUCGUGGGCGUAGGAAAUUUGAGAGGAGCUGUCCUUAGUACGAGAGGACCGGGAUGGACAUACCUCUGGUGUACCAGUUGUCGUGCCAACGGCAUAGCUGGGUAGCUAUGUGUGGACGGGAUAAGUGCUGAAAGCAUCUAAGCAUGAAGCCCCCCUCAAGAUGAGAUUUCCCAACUUCGGUUAUAAGAUCCCUCAAAGAUGAUGAGGUUAAUAGGUUCGAGGUGGAAGCAUGGUGACAUGUGGAGCUGACGAAUACUAAUCGAUCGAAGACUUAAUCAA
This 554-nucleotide ribosomal RNA is filed under the name Staphylococcus aureus. RNAcentral's name for it is "partial 23S ribosomal RNA". It matches the Rfam family "Bacterial large subunit ribosomal RNA", at positions 2369 to 2925 of the family's 2925-position model. Lineage: Bacteria; Bacillati; Bacillota; Bacilli; Caryophanales; Staphylococcaceae. The record is from RNAcentral.